UCAUCGGCAGCGACAGAUGGACCGGGAGAGGAAGCAUCGAGGCUAGGUCCAGGAGCUCCAGUUGGUGGAGCGGGAGGUCCAAGCAUAUCAGGUGAAGGAGUCGGAGCAUGGUGUUUCUUGGAUUUCUUGCUUUUGCUCUUGCUCUUGCUUGGAGCUGGGGCCGGAACCUCAGCAGUAGUUGGUGCAGCAACAGGAGCCGGAGGAGAGGCCGAGCUCUCUGGUGGAGUCGUCGGUGCAGCAACGGGAGGCGAUUUGGCUGGAGGAGAGCUCACAGGUACUGGAGCAGGUGGAGAACUCACCGGAGCAGCAGCCGGAGGAGAAGAAGCCGGAGCAGAUUUAGAUGGGGCUGGAACCGCCGCAGACUUCUCCGGAGCCGCAGCCGGUGGUGAAGAAGUUGGUGGGGAAGUGGUAGGGGCAGCAGUUGGAGCCGGUGAUUUAGGUUUGCUAACAGGGGCAGUAGCGGGAGCAGUAGCAGGAGUAGCCGCGGCCGGCGGAGCUUUAGUAGGUGAGGCUGCCGGAGAUUGACCACCGACAGCGGUUACCACAAAGCAAAUCAAAGCAACUGCAAAUGCACUUCUACGAUCCAUUUCUUGAAGACAGAGGGAGAGUGAAGUAGUAACAGAAACUAAUGACAACGAGACGACAGACUCUCAAUAAAUAUAUAAAUAAAUGAGGGAGAGAAUCAGAAAAAAUGAUGAUUAUAAAAAGAAAAGAAGAAAAAGUUAGGAACGUGUUUGGAUCAGAAAUAGCCGUUGGAUGAGAAGCUAUUUCGGGGCCCACCGUCAUCAAAUUGUAAUGUGGCGAUCAAGACUCGACAGUCUGGAUUGGGGCCCACAUACAUGAACCAUGUAAUUUGUUGUUACAUUACCUGAUUAGGGUAAACUACACCCAAGGUCACUGAAGUAUUAAUAAAUUUACAUUUCAGUCGUUUAACUUUAAAAAGUUACAAAAUAGUCACUAAAUCAUUCGGAAGUUUUUAUUUAAUUCAUUGAGAUAUUAAAUCUCUGUUAUAUGGCUUUCUUUAUUCACACGGCCUACACCAAUCAAAAGAUCUUAUUCUCCUUCUCUUCAACAAUUUAAUUAUUUUCAUAGAAUAAUUUUGAAUGUUAUGAAUUUACGAAUCAAAAUUCAAACAGUUUUCUUUUUCAAUCUCUUACAAGGUAUGUUCUUCUACUCUUUGAUAGGUACUAAUCCAUUGUAUCAAUCGUCAUAAAAAAAUACUUAACAAUUCAAUGACUUAAAUAAAUACUUUCAAAUAAUUUAGUGACCAUGUUGUAACUUUUUAAAGUUAAGUGACCAAAAUAUGAAUUUACUAAUAAUUUAGUGACCUUAGGUGUAGUUUACCCUACUAAUUAAUAUUAUAAUAAAUGUUUAAUUCUAUCCCCAACCUCUGUACUCUUUGGGGUUUUAAAAUUUAGCCUUCCUACUUUUGAUUUUAAAAAUUUAGUUUCUCUUCAUUUUUAUUUAAAAGUCCAAUUCAUGAAAACUUGGUUAAAUUUUAAUAUUCGAAGCUUUGAUCUAAAAAUAAUAAUAUAUAUUUAAAUUGAAUGGAAAUGUUAUUAAUUAAAUUUUAAUUUUUAAAUCAAGCAGGAGAGAUAGGGAAUUAAAAUUUAAAAUUAAAAUUUAAAAGCUGAAAGAGUAAAGGGGUUGGAAAAAAUUAAACCUACAAUAACUAAUUGAAUGAUACAAUUGUUAUGAAGUAGUGAGACAGCUGGACGUAGGGAGAGUGGGGUAUUGCUGCGCAAAGAGACAAACCAAUAGGAGGCGGCCGCGUGACCGGGUAAAGCAGUUACGGGUGAUAUUUUGAGAUGGGUCACCGACUCACCGGCAAGAAACUGUGUCUCUGCAAGCAAAACUUGUCUGGAAUAACGUGACGUGUAUUAUACUUAAACACCCUAACCUUUUCUCUUUUCGUUAAAAAUUGUCAAGUGGCUAAGGCUUUUUUUUUUAUCAUCUAUAUAUUAGAGUUUUAAAAAAAGUUUUGCAAAAUAGUUGAGUUGUGUAAUUAUUUCACCUCCACCCUUUGGCCUCUCUCGGUACAUUAUUAUGUAAAAGUGAGUAUUCCACUGAAUCGAUUAAAAAAUUUUGAGUUAAUUGAGUUAACGAGUUUUAUUUUAUCAUUCUAACUCGAUUUAAUUUUUUUUCAAAUUGAAUUGAGUAAAAUAAAAUUCGAGUCGAUUCGAAUGAAAUUGUUUGAGUUAAAUUAAAAAAUUAAACAUGUUAAAUUAAAAUCUUGUUAUACUAUAUAGAGGUGCUCAUGGGCCGGGCGGCCCGGCCCGGCCCGACGGCCCGCCCGAAAUAUGGGAGGGUUUGGGUAAAAAUAUAGGCCCGAAAUAUGGGCUUGGGCAAAAAAAUGAUGCCCGAUUUAAAAACGGGCCGGGCCUCGGGCACAACUUUUUUGGCCCGGGCCCGGCCCGGCCCGGCCCGAAUAUAAUAAAUAUUUUUAUUAUUUUUAAUUUUAAAAUACUUUUAAAAUACUUUUAUUAAAUUUUUUAAAUUUUUAAAUUUUUUUAAAAUACUUUUUAAAUUUUUUUUAAUUUUAAAAUAUUUUUAAAAUACUUUUUUUAAUUUUUAUUUUAAUUUUUAAAAUAAUUUUUUGGUAAUUAUUUAAAAAACGGGCCGGGCCGGGCCCAGGCUUAUGAUUUUUUUCCCAGGCUGGGCCUGGGCAAAAUUCUAGGCCCAUAUUUUGGGUCGGGCCAAAAAAAAUUUUUGGGCCCGGCCCGGCCCAGCCCAUGAGCACCUCUAAUACUAUAACUAAUUCCAUGUUAUAACACAUAAAUUUGAAACCAUAUAUAUUUGAAAACUUUUUCAAAGCAGAAUAAAAAAAUUACUUUAGUAUGAUAAACUUGAAUCAUUAAUUAACUUAUUUAGGUCCCAAAAUUAUUAUUCUAGAAAAUUUUUAAUAUUUUAACUUUCUUUAUAUUUUUUUAGAUUUUUUUUUGAAAUUUUUAUAAUUUUUAAAAAGUAUAAAUUUGGAAUUUUUAUAAAUAUUUUGAAAUUUUAAAAUUAUUUUGUAAUUUUUAUUGAGAGAGUGGUCAAUUUGUUCAUUUUCAAACUUGGCAGAGACCAAAAAGGUAUUUAUACCAAUAUGUUAUUCGAAUUAUUCGAGUUAUUUUAAUUGUAAAAUUCAACUCGAUUCGAACUCGAAACUCGAAUUACUUACUCGAGUUGACUUGAAUAAUUCAAAUAACUCGAUUCAAUUAACUCAAAAUUUAAUUUUUUUCGGAUUAAAUUGAAUUUUGCUCACUCCUAUUAUUUUGCACAGCAUCACAAUAUAGAUUUUUCGGUUUUAAAAUAUCGCCGAUCUAUAUUCUUCUUCAAUGCUAUAAAGCUCGACCCUUCCACAAUCAUUAUCUAUACAUCAUCAUCAUACAUUGUAUGAAUCGUAGAAUAUAUUACUGGAUUGUCAUAUAUAAUAAAUUUAUAUCUAUUCAUCAUCAUCAUACAUUAUACAAAAAUAUAUAAUAUGUCAAUUUACUACAUUCAUGAUAUGGAUUGAAAGAUAAAAAUUACACAAAUAAAAAUUACAUUUACUAAAAAUAAUGAUAUUUUCAAUAAUUAUUUGAUUUUAUAAAUAAAAGAGUUAUUAAUUAAAAUGAUAAAUAAAAAAUAAAAAAAACUUGAAAACAAUAUAUUUAUUAAUUAUAAAUAUUAAUUAAAAAUAAUAAAAAAGUUGAAAUAAAAAAUACAUAUUAAAAUUCUUAUAAAAGGAAUCAAACUUAGGACUGAAAGAAGAAAUCACAAUUAUCUAACCAUCUAACCAAAAGAGCUAAUGUGUCAAAAAUAUUAAUUUAAAAAAAAACUUAAAAUAACAUGAAAUAAAAAUUACAAAAGUGAAUAGGAGAGGAAUUGAACCUAAGACUUAAGACUAAAAACACUAACACUUAACCAUCUGAUCAAAAGAGCUAAGUUGUCAAUUUGUGAAAACAUGACACAUGUUCAGCUGACGUAGCUAAAAAUAUGCCCUAUAAGACGCAUUUUCAAUGACAUAGACAGUGAAAAUGCACCAUGUAAGACGUGCUUUCCUUUCUCUCUUCAAAACAACAUUGAUAAAUUUAAAAAAAACAACAUAGAUAAUUAAAUGUAGAUUUUUUUUUUCAGCAUAAAUGGAUAAAUCAACCUGGUAUAUAUUAAAUUAAUUAUAUUAUCUUAAUUAUUUAUUUGACUGAGUCUUAUUAAUGAAUGCCAAAUAUUAUAUAUUAUUAAUUAAUAUUUGCCUUCUGUUUCGAGCAAAUAAGAAAGCUUCAUAUUGGCCAUUUACACGCACACACGCAUAUAUAUCAUAGUGUAUUAUGAAUAUUCCAAGUGAAGGGAAUUUGCAUGCUUUUGGCUUUGGGUUGAUGGGAAAACGACAAAAACACCAAUAUUAACCAAUAAAAUUAAAAGCUUUAGAAUUAAGGACGAAUCACGCUUGAAAGUAGGCAUUGGGUCUAAUACAGUUUGUAUACAUUUGAUGCUUCAAAUAAUGCAUUUUGAAAGUUUGCUGCUUGGGCUUACAUUUUACAGGGUUUUGUUGUAGAGAAAAAGAGAAUUUUUAAUUUGUAGAGUCCUCUUGUGAAGUGCUUCUUCUGAUACGUGGCAAUUGUGAAUGUAAGAAGUUUCAUACAUGUAAGUCUGUCUGGUGUUUGCAGCCGGGGGAGAAGACGAUAGGAACCAAUGAAUAACGUCUCUCCUGGUUUAUGCCCCCAUGCCUAAUUAUUUUUUACUCAAAACUGUUCUUUCAGAUUAAACUAAAUAUUCAGAUUGAUUUGUAAGAUAUGCAUUUGCUGCCAUUUUAAGCUUUCCUGUACUUUCAUUGGAACAUUGUCUAACCAAACAACUCCUUUUUUCCCUGUAAUGGUUCAUGAGCUAUAUAUGAUCGUUUCAGUUUUGUUACUUUUACAAUGUUUAACCUGCACAAAUGAUCUUGGGAUUCAUUAGCAUUGGUAUUAGUAAAAUAAAUUGUGAUUUUAUUAAAAUAUAAUAGAGAAAUAAAAGACAGAAAAUGGGUAAAUGAAGGGGAAAAAAAAAAAGAAUGGGGGAAAUUACAUAGGAAAAAAGAACUAGAGUUUCCGCCUCUCAAUACACCAACCAAAGAAUUACAACGCAGAAUGUGGAAUGUGAUCAAAAUCAAUCUAGAAGCUCAAAGCAAUGGCUGCCCAUCCCAACGCCAACCCUCCAAUUAUCUUCUUCAUGUUCUUCAUUGCCUCUGCUCCACUCUGCAUUUGUUUAUAAUAACUCUUUAAAUGUUACAAAUAAAUAUAGUUUUAAGAUGAAAAAAAGAUCCAUUGGUCGGUCCUUUUUCAGAAAAGUAAAUGAACUAGCUCAACGGUGCAUCCUUUAGACGCGAUUAAAAGAAAAACAAGAUCUCUCUACAUUUAUGCAGUGUAAAAGUUCAGAUCUGAAAGCGCAUUGUUAUAUGAUGUAAGCUACUGAAGCGUUAGUAAAGCGAAGAGAAUGUACCUCAUCGGCAGCGACAGAUGGACCGGGAGAGGAAGCAUCGAGGCUAGGUCCAGGAGCUCCAGUUGGUGGAGCGGGAGGUCCAAGCAUAUCAGGUGAAGGAGCCGGAGCAUGGUGUUUCUUGGAUUUCUUGCUUUUGCUCUUGCUCUUGCUUGGAGCUGGGGCGGGAACCUCAGCAGUAGUUGGUGCCGCAACAAGAGCCGGAGGAGAGGCCGAGCUCUCUGGUGGAGUCGUCGGUGCAGCAACGGGAGGCGAUUUGGCUGGAGGAGAGCUCACAGGUACUGGAGCCGGUGGAGAACUCACCGGAGCAGCAGCCGGAGGAGAAGAAGCCGGAGCAGAUUUAGAUGGGGCUGGAACCGCCGCAGACUUCUCCGGAGCCGCAGCCGGUGGUGAAGAAGUUGGUGGGGAAGUGGUAGGGGCAGCAGUUGGAGCCGGUGAUUUAGGUUUGCUAACAGGGGCAGUAGCGGGAGCAGUGGCAGGAGUAGUCGCGGCCGGCGGAGCUUUAGUAGGUGAGGCUGCCGGAGAUUGACCACCGACAGCGGUCACCACAAAGCAAAUCAAAGCAACGGCAAAUGCACUUCUACGAUCCAUUUCUUGAAGACAGAGGGAGAGUGAAGUAGUAACAGAAACUAAUGACAACGGGACGACAGACUCUCAAUAAAUAUAUAAAUAAAUGAGGGAGAGAAUAUCAGAAAAAAUGAUGAUUAUAAAAAGAAAAGAAGAAAAAGUUCGGAACGUGUUUGGAUCAGAAAUAGCCGUUGGAUGAGAAGCUAUUUCGGGGCCCACCGUCAUCGAACUAUCAUACAAAGACACAUUGUAAUGUGGCGAUCAAGACUCGACGACAGUCUGGAUUGGGGCCCACAUACAUGACCAUGUAAUUUGCUGUAACAUUACCUGAUUAGGGUAAACUACAGCCAAGGUCACUGAACUAUUAAUAAAUUUACAUUUCAGUCAUUUAACUUUAAAAAGUUACAAAAUAGUCACUAAAUCAUUCGGAAGUUUUUAUUUAAUUCAUUGAGAUAUUAAAUCUCUGUUAUAUGGCUUUCUUUAUUCACACGGCCUACACCAAUCAAAAGAUCUUAUUCUCCUUCUCUUCAACAAUUUAAUUAUUUUCAUAGAAUAAUUUUGAAUGUUAUGAAUUUACGAAUCAAAAUUCAAACAGUUUUCUUCUCUGAUCUCUUACAUUGACUAUUAGAUUGACUUGGAUCUGAGGUAUGUUCUUCUACUAUUUGAUAGGUACUAAUCCAUUGUACCAAUCGUCGAAUCAUUGCUUGGAGCUCGCUAGCCGAAAUUUAAAAAAAUACUUAAUAACCCAAUGACUUAAAUAAAUACUUUCAAAUAGUUCAGUGACCAUGUUGUAAUUUUUUAAAGUUAAGUGACCAAAAUAUAAAUUUACUAAUAAUUUAGUGACUUAGGUGUAGUGUACUCUAGUAAUUAAUAAUAUAAUAAAUGUUUAAUUCUAUCCUUGGGGUUUUGAAAUUUAGGCUUUCUACUUUUGAUUUUAAAAAUUUAGUUUCUCUUCAUUUUUAUUUAAAAGUUAAAAGUCCAAUUCACAAAAGCUUGGUUAAAUUUGAAUAUAUAUCAUUUUAAUAUUCGAAGACUUGAUCUAAAAAUAAUAAUAUAUAUUUAAAUUGAAUGGAAAUGUUAUUAAUUAAAUUUUAAUUUUUAAAUCAAGCAGGAGAGAUAGGGAAUUAAAAGGUGAUAGAUUAAAAUUUAAAAGCUGAAAGAGUAAAGGGGUUGGAAAAAAUUAAACCUACAAUAACUAAUUGAAUGAUACAAUUGUUAUGAAGUAGUGAGACAGCUGGACGUAGGGAGGGUGGGGUAUUGCUGCGCAAAGAGACAAACCAAUAGGAGGCGGUCGCGUGAUUGGGUAAAGAUGUUACGGGUGAUAUUUUGAGAUGGGUCACCGACUCACAGGCAAGAAACUGUGUCUGCAAGCAAAACUUGUCUGGAAUAACGUGACGUGUAUUAUACUUACCCUAACCUUUUCUCUUUUCGUUAAAAAUUGUCAAGUGGCUAAGGCUUUUUUUUUUUUAUCAUCUAUAUAUUAGAGUUUUAAAAAACAGUUUUGCAAAAUAGUUGAGUUGUGUAAUUAUUUCACCUCCACCCUUUGGCCUCUCUCGGUACAUUAUUAUGUAGAUGAGAGUAUUCGAUCGAAUCGAAUGAAAUUUUUUUUAAGUUAAUUAAGUUAACGAGUCUUAUUUUAUCAUUUUAACUUGAUUUAAAUUUUUUUAAAUUAAAUUGAAUAAAAUGAAAUUCGAGUCAAUUCGAAUAAAAUUAUUUGAGUUAAAUUAAAAAAUUAAACAUAUUAAAUUAAAAUCUUGUUAUACUAUAACUAACUUCAUAUUAUAGCACAUAAAUUUGAAACCAUAUAUAUUUGAAAAAAUUUUCAAAGCAAAAUAAAAAAAUUUACUUUAGUGCGAUAAACUUGAAUCAUUAAUUAACUUAUUUAUGUGCCAAAAUUAUUAUUCUAGAAAAUUUUUAAUUUUUUUAACUUUCUUUAUAUACUUUUUAGAACUUUUAGAAUUUUUUAUAAUUUUUAAGAAAUAUAAAUUUGUAAUUUAUAAAUAUUUUAAAAUUUUAAAAUUAUUUUGAAUUAUUUUGUAAUUUUUAUUGAGAGAGAGGUCAAUUUGCUUAUUUUAAAAUUGGCAAAGACCAAAAGGAUAUUUAUACCAAUAUGUUAUUCGAAUUAUUUGAGUUAUUUGAAUUGUAAAAUUCAACUCGAUUCGAACUCGAAACUCGAAUUACUUAUUUGAGUUGACUUGAAUAAUUUGAAUAACUCGAUUCAAUUAACUCAAAAUUCGAUUUUUUUUCGAAUCAAAUCGAAUUUUACUCACCCCUGUUAUUUUGCACAGCAUCACAAUAUAGAUUUUUCGGUUUUAGAAUAUCGCGAAUCCAUAUUCUUCUUCAUUGCUGUCGAGCUCAACCCUUCCACAAUCAUUAUCUAUACAUUAUCAUCAUACAUUAUAUGAAUCGCAGAAUAUAUUAUUGGAUUGUCAUAUAUAAUAAAUUUAUAUCUAUACAAUUUAAUCGAAGCUUCGAUUUUCAAUUGAUUUUACACUUCAUCUUCAGUAAUAUGAUAUCUUUUAUGAACAUCAUAUUAAUCAGACUCAAAUAUUACAUUGAUAUUUAUAUCACGAAUUUGAACAUUAUAAUUCACCACAACAAAGAACAUAUUGCCCAUUGUGUAUAAAAUUUUUGUAUAUAAUAUCAAUUUAAAUUAAAAAAAUUUAUCAAUAUAUAACUAAUAAAACAAUAAUAUCAUUCUCCCUAAUAUAAUAUCUUUAACUAUAACAUAAACAUAUUUCAUUUAAAAAAAACUAUGCUUAAUGUGAUACAUUGGAUUAUAAUAUUAUAUAAAUUAAAAUUUAUUAAAUUAUUUUUAUUUUUAAUAUUUUUAAGAAUAAUAUUGAGGGGAAAUUAAAUUAGAUUCUCAAAUAUGAAAUAAAAUAUAGGAUUUAUUUUCUAAAUAUAAGGACGCAAAUUUCAUAUAUAAAUGAUAUUAUAUAAUUAUAUUUUAUUAUAUAAAUCAUAAAAAUCCUAUUUCAAAUAAUUCUUUUUAGUUUCAUCAGUCAUUUGUUUUUAAGAUCAACAAAUUCAACGGCGUUUGUAAAAUAAAUUUUUGUACAAAUGAUUGUAAAAAGUUAGCUCAAUAAUCAAUUUUUAAAAUUUUUAUCAUAAUUUUAAUAGAUAUUAAAAUAAAAAGUAAAUAUUAAACAUAUAUAAAUUGCCAUUACAACUUACUACAAAGUAACUUAUAAAUAUAUUAUUUAUAUUUAAAAAUAAUAAAAUACAUAAAAAAAAUGGUUUGUAAUGAUAUUCCAAGAUUGACUUGCCAUUAAUUCUUCCCAAUUCAUUUUUAAUCUAAAAAUUGUCUUGGUAUAUUAACGAUAAUAGAAAUUUGUUAUAUGGGAAGAUUAAUUUAUUUAAUUACAUUUUUUGAGAAGUUAAGAGCAUAAUAUAAAAUAUUCUAUAUGCAUUAUAAAUUAUAACUGUGAUGGUAAAUAUUCUAUAUACAAUUAAAAUUACUUUAUUUCUUUAAAAAGAAUACUAGCAAUCGUUAAAAUGAAUUUUACUAAAUUGGAUGUAAUUGAAGCAUCACGAUUACACUUUUUGAUUUUUAAGGAGAGAGUGAGAAUGGAAAUAAUUACGCAAAUAAUCACAUCACAAUCUAAUUUUUAAAAAUUAUUUUUAUACAAGUUAUAAAAAACAUGAACAUGUAUGAGAGUUUGGGAUGAUUAUUACCAAAAUUUUCUUAUAUUAUAAAAAUAAUGGGUAUUUUUAAAGUUAUAACAAAAAAAAUAUUUAAAUCCUAAAAAAGUCUAAAAUUAUGAAAAAAAAAUGUUAUAAAAGUGUUAUAAUAUAUUUAUUUAUGAAAAGUUAUGGCUAAGAAGUAUAAAAAUAAUAUACUUAUUGGCAUAAUGAUUUUUUUGCCCCUCCAACUUUGUUAGAGUAUAAUGGUAACGACUCUGUUAUUGUAAGUUGUUAGUCUGUUAUUCAAAACUGUUAUGUUGUUAACAACAGUUACUAGCAACAACUAGCUCACAUAUUCUAUAAAUACUAGUGUUGUACAAUUCAAUGAAGAUAAUACAUAAAUAAUACAGAAUACCUUUUUCAAUACACAAUAUUGCUUUUACUUAGCUUACUGUAGAUAUUAACAUGGUAUCAAUCGCCUUGGUGCUGGAGACCUGAUCUUCGUUUGCUCCCAUGACUACCACUACUUCUAUUGACUCUGCCUCUGUCGAGCAUGGCUGUUCGGCGUCCACUGGUGUUCGGAUCGUUCAAUCCUUCCCUUGCCAUGACACUGUUAAAUUGGAUGAUGGAAAUUUCGUUCAAUGGCAGCAACAUAUUCGCCUGAUCAUUGAAGGUUACGAACUGACUGGUUUUUUGGAGGGCACGUUACCUGCUCCAUCGCGUUUUGUACAGUCGUCAGAGGGAUCUCUUGUUCCAAAUCCGGAUGCCUCGGCGUUCGUUCAACAUUAUAGGUUACUUGCCUCUUGGUUACUCUCCACUAUUAAUCCUUCACUAUUAUCCUCAUUUACAGAUGCUUGAACGGCGUGUGAUGUUUGGAAUACUUCCACUCGUCUCUUUGCAGCAGUCACGGGUGCAAAUUUAUCUCGCAUUUGUCACGAUCUAUACUCACUUAAGAAAGAUAACCUCUUAAUCAAAAAAUAUGUAGCAAAAAUUCAGAAUACCUGUGCCUUGAUCGAGGCUUCUGGCUUUCAGAUCUUAGAGGCAGAAAAGGUUAAGAUUGUCCUUACAGGUCUACCUCCGGAGUUUGAUGCUGUGCUUACCUUAGCAUCAUUCUCAUUUGAAACUCUACCAUUUCAACGUCUUGUUGACUUGUUAUUAGAAUAUGAGACGCGACAGAUGCAUGCAGUUCAAGAACUGUUGAUUCAUGCAAAUCUUGUGGAGUCUGUUCCGUUACCACCGAUGGUGGAUUCUGUUCAUGGUGGCCUCCUCCGUCCGGUGGUCGUGGCAAAGGAUUUCGUUCCUGCAUCCAAUGUCAUAUUUGCGGCCGAUUUGGGCAUUUAGCCUAGUGAUGUUAUUAUCGUUAUAAUCGCGAUUAUGAUGGACAACUGUCGGUGGCUCAGGCUUUAACUCCCGGUCGGUAGUCUGAGUCAGGUCUCGGCUGUUGGGUUUUUGUUUUCGUCGCAAACUCCUAGUGGGUUUGAUGGCCCUUCGACUACAGUGCCGUAUGGUUUCUUCUCUGGCAAAAAUUUUUGUGCUGCACCUCACAUGCCUAGGCUGUCCACUAGGGUUUCUAACCCCUUUGCAGUCUUUGAUGAUGGAUUUGGGCAUAAUGCCGCUAGGGCAAUGUUACAAUUUGGGCCUGGGCAUGAGUCUUCUCCUUUAGUGCCUAGGCAGGACUCAUAAUCUGGCAGUUUUGCUGCUGCUGCUAGGUUCGGGCCUGCUGCUACUAGGCCACAUGACUAUGGCUAUUAUCCUGGUCAGCCCGUGCGUGCCAGGUCAUCUAGCUCAAACUAGGAACUUGGGGGCACGUUUACUUUACUUGGGCCGCAGGCUACUAAUUUUCCAAAUGGGCCAACAUCCAAUUGUGUAAAGUUUUCUAAUUCUCUUGGACAUGGACGCGAGAUUGGGCCUUCCGGUGACGGUGAUUAUCAUGCGUCUAGGCCGUCUGUUCCUUGGCGGACCAAACUGAGGGCUCAUGUUUGCACUGAGUCUGAUCCGUGCAUUGGGCUCACUCGUCUACCCGAUUUACAUACGUCCGAUGUAUCUAAUUCUACUGAUCCUAAUAUUCACGCCACUCAAUUUAGGUCCAACCUUAAUGAUACUGGUUUCUAUAUCUCUAUACUCAUCAGAACUGCAUCCUGGUAUCCAAAUUCAAGGGCUACACACCAUGUAUGUCGCGAUGCCUUUGUGUUGAAUGACUCUACACCUUACUCAGGUACAUCCUCUCUAUUAAUGGGUGACGAGACUUCCACCAGGAUCUCGUCUGUUGGAAAUUCAGUGUUUCCUACAUAGAAUAAAUUACUUCGCUUAUCUAAUGUUUUAUGUGUACCGACUAUACAGAAGAAUCUACUGUCUGUAUAUCAGUUUGCCACUAGCAAUAACGUGUUUUUUGAAUUUCAUCUAACUUAUUGUGUUGUUAAGGACAUCAAGACUUAGAAAAUUUUGUUGAGGGGCCACAUUCGUGAUGGGUUCUAAUAUUUUUCUCCAUCGAUUGCGUCUGUUCCGUCUAUUGUGGCUCCUUCUAUUGCCAAUAUUGGACUUUAGACUCGGACUGCUAACUGUGAUAAUUUUUCUUUAUGGCACAAGUGUCUUGGUCAUCUCUCUGCUUCUGUUGUUAAAUCUGUUUUAGAUAAAUGUAAUAUUGCUUCCAAUAAAGUUUGUCUUGAUAAUGUUUAUACUACAUGCCAAAAAGGGAAGUCUCAUAAACUGCCUUUUCCAACCCCUACUACUGAAUAUACUGAUCCUUUUACUUUGGUGGUCUUCGACCUAUGGGGACCUACAUCAGUUGCCUGUAGACGUAAUCGGUAUUAUGUCUCGUUUAUUGACAUGUGCACUCACUUUACUUGGAUUUAUCUUAUUCGUUAAAAGUCUUAGGCGGUGGAUUGUUUUGUUUAGUUUCAACAAUUAAUCAAGACUCAAUUUGGUAAAAAAAUCAAACAAUUUCAGAGUGAUUGGGGAGGAGAGUUUUGCGCUUUCACGUCAGUGUUGGCGACUCAAGGGAUAAUUCAUAGACUGUCCUAUCUUCAUACGCCCGAACAGAAUGGGGUGGCUGAACGCAAUCGCCAGCAUAUUGUUGACAUGGGUAUUACAUUUUUGGCCCAAACAAAUCUUCCUAUAGAUUAUUAGAGCAAUGCAUUUUUUGUGCUAUUAUCUCAUCAAUCGUCUUUCUACCUCGGUUUUGAACGAACAAUCCCUGUACAAGGUUCUGCAUAGACAAGAUCCCACAUAUGAUCAUUUACGAAUGUUUAGGUGUUGUUGUUUUCCAUAUCUGCGUCCUUUUCUGCGUCACAAGUUGGAUUUUCGUUCUUAACCUUAUAUGUUUAUAGGAUAUAGUUCCCAACAUAAAGGGUAUCAAUGUCUCACAGCGGAUGGUAAGGUCGUUAUUUCUCAUCAUGUUGUGUUUGAUGAACACCAUUUUCUGUUUCCUACGUCUGUUACGGGAGGUUCCAGAUCUUCAUUAGGUCAAUCUCUCUCACCAACAUAUGUUCCUCUUGUUCAGCCUGUCUGCUCUUGACCCACGGAGUCCUCAUCCGCUCAACCUCUUGCGUUAACCUCACCUCUUGGUUUAUGUCCCUCUCUUUCUAACUCUAAAGUUCCUCAGGUUGUUUUGGGAUCUGUACAUGAGCUCUGUCCUCUCUCCUCUUUACCUGACAAUGACGGUGUACCCAAUCCAACCACGAUUGCUUCCAAUAUUCCAGUUUCUCCACUAUUUCGUCAGCUCUUUUGCACCUAACAAAUACUUAUCCGAUGGUUACUUGGUCUAAGGCUGGCGUUUUUAAGCCCAAGGCUCUGUCUGUUGAAUCUGUUGAGCCUCACACGAUUGAGGAAGCCAUUUUUACCACCAAAUGGCUUGCCGCUGCUCGGGCUGAGUAUGAUGCCCUCAUUCAUAACUCCACCUGGAACUUGUUUCGUUACUAAAUAAUUGUAAAGUGAUCUGAUGUAAAUGACUUUUCAAAGUAAAAAAAUCUUGAUGGCACGAUUGCAUGUCGUAAGGCUUAGUUAGUAAUUAAAGGAUGUUCUCAGGUACCUGGAUGCGAUUUCAAGGAAACAUUUAGUCCAGUAAUAAAACCUGCUACUAUUCGAAUCAUACUAUCUAUUGUUGUUUCCAAGGGUUGGCAACUUCGUCAGGUGGAUGUGAAUAAUGCCUUUUUAAAUGGUGAUCUUACUAAUGAAAUGUUUAUGCAUCAACCUCCAGGGUAUGUUCAAUAUGGUUCUAAUGGUAAACAUUUGGUCUAUCGUCUGAAGAAGGCUUUGUAUGGACUAUGUCAGACUCCGCGUGCUUGGUUUGAUAAAUUGAAGUGCUUUCUCCUUUCUGUUGGUUUUCUUCUAUUAAAGUCUGAUACAUAUUUGUUUAUUAAAGUUACGCCUAACUCCACUCUUUAUGUUCUUGUGUAUGUGGAUGAUAUUAUCAUUACUAAAAGCAUGUCUACCUGUAUAAAUAGCUUUGUUCAGUAGUUGAAUAAGGAGUUCUCACUUAAACAUAUGGGUGAUCUCCUUUAUUUUCUAGGGAUUAAGGUUACUCGUUUUGCCGAAGGGUGUCUUCAUCUAUGCUAACGAAAGCACAUUCGCGAUCUGCUAGAUAGGAGUUCCAUGACUCAUGCAAAGAGUGUUCAUAAUCCUAUGAUUACUUCGUCUCCUCUAUCCAAGGAUGAUGGGGAUCAUCUUCAUGACCCUACUGAAUACAGAAGUCUUGUAGGUGCUUUACAGUAUGUGGUCCUUACUCGACCUGAUAUUGCCUACGCGUUAAAUCGCAUAUGUUAGUUCAUGCAUGCGCCUACUGCUGUCCAUCUGGUUACAUUAAAAUGAAUCUUGUGGUAUUUAUGUGGUACCCUUGAUUAUGAGAUUGUUUUUCAUCAAUCUUCUCAACUUUUGUAACGCCUAAAAAUUUCUAAUUUCGUUAUUAUGAAAAUAUGACACAAAUAUCUAUCAACUUUAGUGGUUAUGUGUUCUGAAAGUGUCUGGGAGGUCCCAAGUUUGAGCCUUCGCUUGGGAAAAUUUUAGUAUUUUGAAUGAAUUAGGCCUUACUCUUGUUCAGUAGGCUUCUAUUUGAUUGUUGGGUAAAUUACAUCAGAAUGAAUUCAUGAGAAAGGUAUAAUAAACUUUGUGAGACAAGGUCAGAAUGAAUUUGGGUUCCCCUGUUCUGACUUUGAAAAAUCAUGAAAAUUGGAGAAAAAUAAUUGGGGGUUAAAAUUUACAUAUUUAAAUUAUUGUUGAGACUAUUUUCAAUAAAAACAAAUUGAAACAUCAUCCAAUUUUUUUACUAAGAGAUAAUUAAUUUUUAGCAAAGAAGGGACGAAGCUGUCAGACAGCAGAACAGGGGUAAGUUUGAAGAUUUUACUGUACUUAUUGGCAGAACAAAAAAUUUUAAAAAUUUUAUGGUAAGGUAUUUGAGUCUAGUUUCAAAACCAUCAAGUGGAUCUUAAUUCGGAAUUCUGUAGCUCAAUAUAUAAAUAAUUUAGUAACAGUGACUCAAGUAGACAACUUUGAAGGAACAUAUAAGUAAAUAGUGAAAACAUAUAUGAAUAAUUAACUAGCACGAGUUACAUUAAAAAUGGAUCAUGUGGCCAAGGCCAAUUUGGGCCGAGUGGGCCACAUGGGCGUGUGAGCCUAUUUUUCUAAAAAGUUCUGUAAGGUUGCACGGGUCGCCCAAGUCAACUAUGGACCUACUGAAGGGUCGGUAAGCUUUACUUAGACCCCUAUCUGUGUGAUCUGUGUGAUUUCUAUACCGAGCAUGACUUAUGAUAUCUGAAUGUAUGUACUAUUAAUUGCAUAAUGGCAUGACAUAUUUUGUAUGCUGCAUUGCAUCGGGGUAGGUUGAUGAUAUUUGGAGAAAGUGUCUGAAAGGCUAUUAAGUCUAUUAUCUGCAGCUCAGCUGCAACCUUAUGAUUAUGUGCCGCAUUUCGGUACAGCAUGGUGUGUAGGGAUGAGUGGGUUGAUUUAAUCCCCACAUGGUGUGUAGGGUUGGACGAAGAUGGUGUGUAGAGGCUGGUGGGUAGGAUUCUGAUUUACUGUAUCUGCAUUUUGUAUCUGAUAUAGGCCAAGGCCCUAAUGCAUUUCUAAGACUGUAUCUGAAUGGGUUAAGGCCCAAACUGAUUCUGUGAUGGACACAGGCCUCGGACUGUAUCUAACUGAAUUCUAUUGAUUAUUUGUAUGCAUGUUUUCUGUGGGGAUUACACAUUGAGUUUGCGAAAACUUACCCUUUCUUUGUUUAAUCUAUAUAGGUAAUCCCCAAACUUGACGGGUCGAUGCAGCGGAGGACUCAACGGUGGCCACACGUAAAUUUUAGACUAUUUUCCAUAAUUUCUAGAAUUUAUUACUUAUUUGAGGUUUUUGAUGUAUCUUCUAGACUAUGAACUGGAUGGCUUUAAAUUUGAGACUUUAUACUAUUUUUUAUGGAUUUUUUUUAAAAACUGCAACUCCACAAAACACGAUUUUUUUCCUAAAAAGCUAAGGUUCUUCGUAAGUAGAAACAAUUUUCCCUAAAUUAAUUGGUUACAAAAGCUUUCAAUAAGAGACAAGUUUUAAAGUAAAUCAACUAGUUUUUUUUUCGAAUUAAAUAAAAGCUAACUUACUGUAACGGUUUUUAAAUUCGACAAUAUUAUAUUUGAAUCUCUUUCCAUGUGACAUCGCCAGAUUCGACCAUAACAUCUAGGCCGGGUUUAGGGUGUUACAUUUAGUGGUAUCAAAGCCAGGUUGCAAUACUCAGCUGUGGAUUUGGGUUUUAAAACUUGGUUUUAAAGAGAUGAUUUUUAAAUGGUUUGAAAUAUUUUUGACUGAGUAUGUGGUACACUGAGUCUUCGGCGCCGAUUCUGUAAAUGUUCUAAAAACUUUGGUAAGUUUUUGAAAAUAUGAGUAGCAUGUUCUGAAACUACUAUAGGUAGUACACUGUACUAAGAACACUGUAGAUAGAAUAUACUAAAAACAGUAGCGAAACUGAAAACUAUAGUAAGUCUGCGAUUCGUGUUAACAAACUCUAAACUUCUGAUACUAUUUUGCAUAAAAUAUCUACUAAUAGAUAUCGAAACUGUAAUUGAUUCAUAAAACUGUUAACACAGAUAAGCUACGAAUUCUACGAUGAGUGCACGAGGUAUCCGCGGACGGGUACUAAAGGCCGAGGUAGAGGCUGUAGAGGGGCUCGAGCUGAGUCCCGGACCAUGAUCACCUCUAAUUGUGAGUCUAAAUAUUAUAAGGUCGGUGUUAAUUAUGCAAAUAAAAAAAUUUCUUGCAAUAUAUUGUGGUGUAUGAUACCAUUUGAGAAAAUAGUGUUAAACACAAGCACAAUAAAACUUUGAUUUGAAACAUUUAAGGCUUCAAAAUGCGGUUGAGAAGGUAUUUGUUGUUCUGAAAACAUAUUUAUCAUAUUAACAACAUCACUUUUGUAUAACAUAUAAAAAAAAAGUUGGAUCGUACUAGCAUGUUGCAUAUUUCACAAUUUUAAUCAUAGGUGGAAUUGAGAUAAUUUAUAUUUCAAAAAGUACAUGGAAGAAGAACAUCUUGAUAAUCUUAAAGAUACAAAUUCAAAUGAUGAUUAACUCAAUUAAAGAGAAAAGACCAACAUAUGAUAAUAAGGUGCAUAUUUUAAAUACUAAAGAGGGAAUAACCCAAUAAAUAUGAACUAGAACAAUUAAAAAAAUUGUAUAUGGUUUAUUUUUCUUGUUUUUUUUUAGUAAUCGUAUUAUCAAUUACAUUUUUAGACUAACACAAUGCAUAUGAUUAUUUUAUUUUAAUUUUUGUUACUUAUUUAUAAAUUAUUUUUAUCAUACUAAUAAAUUUUUAUAGUAAUUAAUAUUUUUUAAAUGAAAUUUAUGUAACUGUGUAAUUACAAUUUGUACUACCAAACAUGACAUAGGAAAUUACGAUAUAAUUACUCUCUGUUAACUAAAUACGUCUAGGAAAUUACAAUUUUCUUAUAAUUACAAAAGAGAGUAAUUACUAUCCUAAUAAUUACAUUUUCAUUCAAUUAUUUUGUGCUAUCCAAACAAACCCACAUGUUUAGCUUAAGUACUCACAUGCACAUACAUACGCCAUAUUUCAUACAUAAAUCAUUUAAUGAUAAUUUGACAACUUGAGAUUAUGAAAUGUAAAAGUGAACACUAUCACCAUACAUUGGAUACACGGAUCUCCAUCACACCAAUAACUCAAAGAGUCUAACAUGUCCCAUAAGUGUAGUAUAAUGCCAAACACUCCCUAACACACCAACAUGUCCAAAUGAAUGGAGCUUAGCUCCACAUUCCCUUAUCUCUCCAACUUGUCCUAGGGCUUCAAUGCCCAAAUCACAAAAUACAAAGGUGAGUGCUCACAAUCCUAUCGCAUGCCAACUAUAUCAAAUGAUUUUAAGAGAUCACAAGGCCAAAACAUCCACAAUUACACAUAUUUAAUUACUACUUUAGUGCACAUUGUCUCUAUUUAUAUUCGUCAAUUUACAUCACAAACUUGUACACAAUGCAUACUUAUCGAAUUCACAUUUAUUUGCGUUUUAAGUGUCACAACAAUGCUCCUUGAGCCAUCAUAUAUCAGACCACAUUUGUGUGCACUAAAAUCAAUUUAUCGCAUCCAAAUAUUCACCCACAUUACCUAUCAUAAGAACCUCACGUUCCUCAACUCGACAUACAUUAAGUAAAGUUUUACAUUAAGGAAAAAAGUAUAAAGAAGGCUUACACUCAGAACUUAGGAUAGGAUUUUAGGCUAUUCCUAAGUUCCCGAUUAACUCUACGAAUCGUGCAUACUAGCAGUGACUUCGGACACUCACCAAUCACGCUUCCGCUUAUUAGUCGAAAGCUCAAACUAGGUUUUCUUUACCUUUUGCCUUGCUCGUAGAGGGCUCCAACGAUUUUGAAACUUUUAACUAGUUUAGCCAAAACUCAAAUUUCUUAAUCUAGACCUGUUCCUAUUGCUUAAAAUCGAUUCCAAACACCUAGUUAUUCAUUUAAGAGUAGAUCUCAACCUUUAAAACACCCAGAAUUUUCAGAUUUAUGUUUCUGAAAAAUUUCAACGUUCAUGACUACUUUGAACGAAAAAUCAUUAAAUCCUUCAAAUCUCUUAAUGAUUGAUUAAAGUAAGUUUAAAAACCUUCUAAUCUCAUCAAAACAAGUCAAAAAACACCUAGAAAAAACAAUUUAAUUGGAAAACCUGAAUUUCACCAUUAAAGAUCCCAAUUUUGACUAAAACAUGAAAUUCUCUUGGCACGAAUCAAAAAUUGAUUUGAGUAGCUAAAAUAUAUCAAAACUUAGUAAGGAAACAAAAAUUUAAUUUAAUCAAGAAGAAGAAUGAAUGAAUGAAAGGUUGAUUUCCAGAAAAUUCCUUUGGAAAUCGAAUGAGAAAAUUGAUAAUAUUUUUGGGGGGUUUUGUUAAAAAUUCAGAGAGAUUUCAGAGUUUUGGAGAUGAGAAAAUCACAAAGGUUAAGCCAAUUUGAGAGAAAAUUAGGGAUUUGGGUUUAAGAGAAAUUUUAUUUUGAAUGUUGCAAAAGAUAAGGAGAUGUGAGUGGCUGCAAUUUGAAACCCAAUUUACAAAAAUUGGGCAAUUUGCCUUUUUGGUCACUCCUAGUGUAACACCCCUAACCCAUAUCCUUUGCCAAAACAAGGUUACGGAGCGUUACCAGAGUUUACAGAUUAUAUAACAUACAUUUCAUAUCAUUUAGCAUUCAUAUUAGAAAUCAAUCAAAAUUGAUCAUAUUGUCCCUUAUGUGAGCCCUCGAGGCCUAAAAUAGACAUUAGAAACAUGUCGGGACUAAACUAGGUACUCAGAGAAUUUUUCAGAAAAUAUUACAAUUUUUCAAAGGUGUAGGGGACACACGCUCGUGUGGUCAGGUCCUGUGACUCACACGGUUAAGAGACACGCCCAUGUCUUAGGCUGUGUAGGCAUUCGAAAUAAAGACACACGACUGUGUCCCAGCCCAUGUCCAAACUUAGGAGAUCUCUGACUUGGGUCACACGGCCAAGACACACGCUUGUGUGCUAGGCAGUGUGAGAAUUUUGUUUUGCAAUUUUAAAGAUGCAGGGGACACAAGCCCGUGUCUCUACCCGUGUAGACAAAAAUAGACCAUUUUCCAAGCCAUAUUUUUUACCCCAAUUGUCAUCAACCUAACUUACAUUUUUACACAAUAAUAAGACAUAACAAGGCAUUCAAAUCAAGCCAAAACCAAGUCUUCUACAUAACAUAUCACCACAUAUAUCUAAGUAUCCAUACUUACCAAAUUAACCAAAUACACAUAUAUGCAUAUUUGUACCAAAUAUACUAUCUCAAAAAAAUCAUCAAUAUGCCUAUAUGAUUUCCAUCAUUCAACCAUAUCACACACACAUCAAACAUGUUAAGGCCAUAUAUAUACAUAUCAAAAUGUAUCAACCAGCCAUUCAAAUGGCUAAUCACAACAAAACAUUUGCAUGCCAUCAUUGGCCAAGUUAACCUAUACGUGUCAUUAUAACCAAAAUUGAUUUACUAAAUAUACCGAAAAGGGCCGAUGGAUAGUGUGAAGUUGCUCUGACCAGCUUCCAACCAAAAUGAGCUUCCGAAUUACUAUAAAACAGGGAAAAUAAAACAGAGUAAACAUUUAAUACUUAGUAAGUUUGUAUAACAUGAAAUUUAACUUACCAUUUAAUCACAAUUAAGGUAAGCAUUCAAGGCAUAUUCCAACCAAAUUGGCCAAAAGCCCUAACACAUAUCCUCAUCAUGUUAGCCAAGUAAUCACAUAUAAUAACCCUUAAUCAUGGAUGAACAAGAUCUUCAAGCAAGUUCCACAUUCAAGGGCUUUUACGAUUUUGUCCCUAGGCUCAAAAAAUGAAAUUCAUACAAUUUAAUCCUUAUUUCAAGCCUAGCUGACUUUCAUAUAUAACAACAGUAGCCCAUGAAUUUCAUAAAAUUUAGAAUUUUUCCAUGAAUUUAUAAUAUUUUCAAUUUGGUCCCUAAAUCAUAAUUUCAUCAAAAUUCACUUUACAGAAGUUAUUUAGCUAUCAACAACCUUUCAUUUUCUACCAUAAAAUUUCAUAAUUAAACUAUACUCAUCCAUGGGAAAACCCUAACACUUUAAUAGUUUUAAAAUUAAUACCCAAGAUAGCUAGAUUAAGCUAUUACGAUUUCGAAAACAUAAAAAUCAUUAAAAACGGGACCAAAAUACUUACGUAAUUAAGCAAAAUAAGCUUGCUUGAGCUCAACUCUCAUGGCUAGGGUUUCCAUGUUUUAUUUUAGGAAAGAUGAUGAAAAUGAUAUUAAUUUAAUUAAUUAUUUCAUUUACCAUCAUUAUUUUAUCAUCUUUCCAAAAUUAACCCUAAUUCUUUAUUCAAUUUCUAAUGAUGAAUAAUCAUCCUUAUCUGCUAACUCUUCUAAAUGGUCUAUUUUUCAUAUAAGGACUUCAAAAUUUAAAUUCCAUAGCUAUUUGAUACCUUUAGCUACUAGAAUUCAACUUUUGCACUUUAUGCAAUUUGACCCUCUUUAUCAAAUUAGACAUGUAAACGAUAAAAUUUCUUAACAAAAUUUUGAUAUGAUAUUUCUAUCAUACUGUAGACCAUAAAAUAAUAUUAAAAUAAAUUUUAUUUCGACCUCAGAUUUGUGGCCCCUAAACCACUGUUCCGAUUUCACUGAAAACGGGCUGUUACACCUAGCUUUUCCCUUUUUCUAAUUAGACCUCAAAAUUGAAAUUUUUUUUUAGCUAACAAAUAAAUUAAGAACUUGAUUAUGAAACUCACAUACUUAAAUUACUCACUUACGACCUUAUUUUCCUUUAUCUGACACAACCUCCAGCUAAAAAACUCGAUUCUUCUAACCCGUUCUUCAGAGUGUGACAGCUCUUCCCCUCUAAAAAGAAUUUUGUCCUCGAAAUUUUCCUGAUGACACAUCAUUCGCUUAAUCACAAAACCUGUUAUGUUUUCCUUUAAAACAACCACCACGCUUUCGCUGCACAACUCAGAUUUCUUUUUAACUUUUUAGGGUUUUUUAUGAAGAUCCUAUUCACUACCACGGACUGUCUUUCGGUGACUUCACUAUUAGUUUCCUUUAUUCUCUAUGAUACUCUCAUUUGAAGAACUCGUAAUCAUAGUUCCUAAUUUAAUAGCCUUUAUCUGGAUUCUUUGCUUAUUAGUUAAAUUGCUAAAAAUUUACAAAGGCAUAGAUCCUAAAUCUACCAAUGAGAAUAAAUGGAUUGAUUACAAGGAAAAAAUACCCGCAAUCUCGUUGAUAGAAUCCUAAUCUUGUGACUUCCUAAUAGCAUACAUGCGAGCUGGUCCUUCGGUCUCCACCUGAGUAGUAACGAUAUGAGCAGCAUCCCACAGCCCAACCGGUCCCACAUUACCACCUCUACCUCUGCCACGACCUUGAGCAUGCACAGGUACAGGUGCAAAACUCCGAGUCUACGAAACCUCAACUCUAUUUGGACAAUCCCUCACCAAGUGUUCUUUAGAGCCACACUUGAGACAUCCUCUUGUCAAUUUUCGGCACUCUUCAGAAUGUCUACGCUCAUAAUGUCCACAAUAUGGCCAUCCAAAUUCUCUUGACAACCCACCAGUGCUAACCACCACACUGCUCUACUGCUUAGAUUGACUUGGUAUAAACUUGUGUCAUGCACUCCUAUCAAAACCCUAAAUAUCAUGGCCUCUCUUAGACGGUCGUCUAGAUCUUUUAGAACUAUUAAAGGUUCUUUUCCCUGAUUCAGUCACCACUGAGCACGAUGGCUCAGCUAAAGUUUCCUCAAUAGCUUUGGAUUUCUCAACCAUCUCAUCGAACAACUCAAUAUUUUAAGCUACCGAAUAAACUCUAAUCUCCUGAUUAAGCCCAAAACAAAACCACUAGUAUCAGUCUUUCUUAGUAAGUACCAUCUCAAGAACAUACUGGUUGAGUCACACAAAUUUCGGUUCGUACUCAGCCACAGUCAAACUACCUUGAACCAGGUCUAUAAAUUCAAGGUUACGGGCUUCCAAGUACUGCUCACCCGUAAACUUCCUUUUAAACACUUCUAAAAAAUAAUCUUAAGUCAAACAGUCUGCAAUAGUACCUCUCUUCAAUGUAUUCCACCAACGGUGGGUUACUCUGUCGAGUAGGGACAUAGUACAUCCCAACUUCUCCUCGCCAAUAGUGGACAUGUGAUCGAGGAUCCUCUCCACACUUUCAAGCUAGUAUUCCACUAUAGUUGGAUCAACUCCCUUUAAUUGAAUAAAUUAUCGCUUAUUGCCCGCAGACAUUCAAGUGGCAGUCCCCGAUUGGAAGGAGCAGGGUUGGCAUCUACAAUCCUCUGAAAUACCCCAAUCAGGGCUUGCAUCAGAAGGCCAACACUCUCAUCUGGUACAUUUACUCUAUGAGGCAUCACAAGAGGUGCAGAGGAUGUACUAUCCUCUUGAGCGUUCCCAUUCACAUUAACACGUCUACGAGGCAUAUUGUAUCUACUCUAACAAACACAAUCAACCAAGAGUGUGAGUGGCGGGAAAUGAUCCAAGGCAUGUUCCUGAAAGGAAACAUUUAAAUAAAGGAAAUGUGUUCCCAAUCCUACCCCCCAAAAAAACAAUUUCAUAAUAACUUCAACAGAGAUAUUCAAGUCAAACAGUUUAAGUAAUAUGAAAAUCUAGGUACAUGGGUUACACCCUAGUCCCGAAUACUGACAAACUUAGGUCUAACUCUUAGAAAACCUAGGCUCUGAUACCACCAAACGUAACACCCCUCAUCUGGCCUGGUCGUCAAACCCUAGUAAUAGGAUGCUACAAUCGCUAUUGAAACUUAGGCUCCGUUUGUUUCACUGAAAAUAGCUUUUGGAAAAUGAUUUCUGGAAAAUAACUUACUUUUCUAGAAAAGCUAAUAUUUUCUGGUGUUUGGAUGAAUCUGUAUAAAAUAUUUUCUUUUGUUUGGCAGGUUCUUUAAAAAUAUUUCAUAAAAGUCGUUUUCAAUUAAACAAACAUACAUUUGAGAUUUUUUUUAUUUCAUUUUCUAAUUGAGUUUAUUUUAUAUCUAUAAUUUUAUAUUUUACAUUGUUUUUACAUAUAUUAAAAAUAUUUUGUUAAAUUUAGGUUCAUUGCAACGAUUAUUUUUAGUUACAUGACUACCAACUGAGUAUUUUUNNNNNNNNNNNNNNNNNNNNNNNNNNNNNNNNNNNNNNNNNNNNNNNNNNNNNNNNNNNNNNNNNNNNNNNNNNNNNNNNNNNNNNNNNNNNNNNNNNNNNNNNNNNNNNNNNNNNNNNNNNNNNNNNNNNNNNNNNNNNNNNNNNNNNNNNNNNNNNNNUAUUUUAACAUUUAUACUACAAAAUAUUUAUUAUUAAUAUAUUUAUAAUUGUAAUAAAUAUUUAGUAUUAAAAUAUUAAUAUUGGUAUUUUUUCAAGUGAAUAAUAUUAUUUAAAAUUAUUAUUUUUAAAAUUUACUAUUAAAAUAAAAUUUAAAUAUUAAAUAAAUUAUUAAAAAUAAUAAAUUAUAUUAAUAAUUUAUUAUAUGACUAAAUAUAAAUAAUUAAAUACGUAUUUUUAAUAAUACUAAAAAAUAUAACAGUUUCUAUUAAUAUUUUAAAUAUUUUAAAUAUUUUAAAAAUAAAAAUAAAAAUUAUUAUCAAUAUAAUAAUAUUAAACUUGAUUUAAGUUAAUUUUUAUAUAAAAGUAAAAUUAUCUAUUGAAAAGCUCUUUUCCGGAAAAUGACUUACGCUUUUCAAAAAGGUAAGCCAUUUUACAAGGAAAAAGGCUUAUUUUUCGUUGACUUGUAAGUCAUUUUCCGUUGACGAAGCUGUUUUCUGUGAAACAAACACAGGAAAAUGCAGAAAAUAUUUUCCGUAAAACCUUUUAUAUGUAAAUAAACGGACCCUUAUACACAUGCACAGAUAGCUUCAAAUAAGAACAACAACUACUACAUUCAAUAAUAAAAAAGGGCGGUCCUGACUAGUUAAACAUUAUACGACACUAGAAACAAUUUUAUCCGUAAAUAGGGUCCAUUUUUUUAAAAGUCUUAAAGAAAACAAUGUAGGUAUCGAUACAAAAUAGUAGGUAUUGAUAUAUAGUAAAUUAGGUAUUGAUACUGAUGUAAAAAUUGAUACAUUUUUAGCUCUCUGUCAAAAUUUUUUUAAACCAUUUUAUCGAUACUUUGGCAAGAGUAUUGAUAUUUCAAGAAAUACUCGUGGUUGGGUAUCGAUACAAAAUUGGGUUAUUGUUAAUUUUUAAAAACAUCCCAACCUCAUGGUAUCGAUAAUUGUGUCCUGAGUAUUCAAUAAUGCCUUUAUUCAAAGUGUUCAAAAAUUAUAAAACCACCUAUUCAAAAGUUUAUUUCCUUGCUAAGAUCACUUCCUUGGCCACACCAUUCACACCGAAAGUGCUACUUAUCUGCAAAAUUUUAAUGUGAAGUGUGUGAGCUUAAACAAGCUCAGUGAAUGUUCAAAAUUACCACAAGCAUACAUAACGUCAUAUGUUAAGCAAGAGCAUACUACGACACAUUCACAUUCAUAUUUCAUUAAAUCAAAAUAUCAUAUUCAUGCUACAUUAUCUCACAUGUUUAGCUUAAGUACUUACAUGCACAUACAUAUGACAUAUUUCAUACAUAAAUCAUUUAAUGAUAAUUUGACAACUGGAGAUUAUGAAACGUAAAACUAGAGUCUAUCACCGCACAUUGGAUACAUAAAUUUCCAUCCCACCAAUGACUCAAAAACUCUAACAUGUCCCAUAAGUGUAGCAUGUUGCUAAACACUCUCCAACAUACCAGCAUGUCCCAAUGAAUGGAGCUUAGCUCGACAUUCCCUUAUCUCUCCAUCUAUGGCAUGCCAACUAUAUCCAACGGUUUCAAGAGAUCACAAGGCAAAAAUAUCCACAAUUACACAUAUUUAAUUAUUGUAUUAAUGCACAUCAUCUCUAUUCAUAUUCAUCAAUUUACACCACAAACUUGUACACAAUGCAUGCUUACUGAAUUCACAUUUAUUUGCACUUUAAGUGCCACAACAAUGCUAAUUGAGCCAUCACAUAUCAGACUACAUUUGUAUGCAUUAAAAUCAAUUUAUUGCAUCCAAAUAUUCAUACACAUUACUUGUCAUAAGAACCUCACAUUCCUUAACUCGACAUAUAUUAAGCAAAGUUUUAUAUCAAGGCAAAAGUAUAAAGAAGGCAUACACUCGGAACAUAGGAUAGGAGUUUAGGCAAUUCCUAAGCUCCCGAUUAAUGCUACGGAUUGUGCAUACCAACAGUGACUCAAGACACUCACCAAUCACGUUUCCACUUAUUAGUCAAAAGCUCAAACCUAGCUUUUCCUUACCUUUCGCCUUCCUCGUAGAGGGCUCCAAUGAUUCUGAAACUUAACAAACAUUAACCACACACUAUGUAAAAACAAUUAAUAGCCAUAAACUCACUAUAAAUCAAACAUUAACGUAGAUUCUACCUAACUCCUCUUUAAACCAAAAAUUUUGACUAGUUUAGCCAGAACUCAGAUUUCUUAAUUUAGACUUGUUCCUAUUGCUUAAAAUCGAUUCCAAACACCUAGUUAUUCAUUUAAGAGCAUAUCUCAAACUUUAAACUACCCAUAAUUUUUAGAUUUAUGUUUCUGAAAAUUUUCGACAUUCAUGAGUACUUUGAACAAAAAAUCAUUAAAUCCUUCAAAUAUUUUAACGAUUGAUUAAAGCAAGUUUAAAAACCUUCUAAUCUCAUCAAGAAAAGUCAAAAAACACCUACAAACAACAUUUCAAUUGGAAAACCCAGAUUUAGCCAUUAAAGACCCUAAUUUUGACUAAAACAUGAAAUUCUCUUUAAACAAAUCAAACUUGAUUUGAGUAGCUAGAAUAUAUCAAAGUUUAAUAAGGAAACAAAAAUUUACCUCUAUCAAGAAGAAGAAUGAACGAAAGUUUGAUUGUCAAAAAAUUCAUUUGGAAAUCGAAUAAGGAAAUUGAUAAUCUUUUUGGGGGUUUUCUUAAAAAUUUAGGAGAGAUUUUAGAGUGGGAGAUGAGAAAAUCGCGAAGAUUAAGUCAAUUAGGGAGAAAAUAGGGGAUUUUGGUUUAAGAUAAUUUGUUGUUUUGAAUGAUGGAAAAAGAUGAGGGGAAGACGUGAGUGGCUGCUAUUUGAAAGCCAAUUUACAAAAAUUGGGCAAUUUGCCCUUUUGGUCACUCCUAACUUUUUCUUUUUUCCAAUUAGGCUCGAAAUAAAUUGAAAUCCAUUUUUUUCAAAUUAGACGUCAAAUUUGAAUUUUGUUUUGAGCUAACAAAUAAAGUAAGAACAUGAUUAUGAAACUCACAUACUUAAGUUACUCACUUACGACCCUAUUUUCUAUUAUCUGACACAACCUCUGAUUAAAAGACCUGAUUCUUCUAGCCCAUUCUUCAGGGUGUGACAUGGAUAUAACAUUAAAAUAUUUAGGAUAAGUUCUCAAAUUAACAUUAUAUGGGGAGAGUAUUACUAUAAGAACUUGUUAGAAACCUUUUUCAACUUUUCGUGCUAUAAAUGUGCUCCUACAGUAGCAAUACCGUGAUAAAAUGUUGUUUAAUUGUGAUUGAAUAAAAUAACAAGUUAUUAAAUAAAGAAAAAAAACAUUAAGUCUGUCUUACUAGAUCUACUCCAUUCCCUGAAGUGAAUGUAGCAAUAUAUAACAAAUUCAAAGGAUAUAAUCGUGGACAUGGUAGGUGGAACUGUAAUAAUCGUCAAAUGGGUAGUCAUAAUAAUUUUUCUUACCACCAAAAGUGGAAAGUGAAGAUAAUGUUGAAACUGAUAAUAAGAUUUGCGUUGGAAUUCAAAUGAAUAGUUUCAUCCUAUAUUCCAACUUUUAAUUAUUGUGCAUUUAUGGUAUGCUUCUAUGCUUUGCUUAAUUUUGCACAUAUAUCUAUACAAAUUAAAUAUGUGUUUGUGUGUAUUUUGUAAAUUGAUAAAAUUUAUUUGCAACAAAUGCAUGUAGCUUUGGCUUUGAUUUUAUUUUAUUGAGACUAAUGUUCUAUAUUUGGAUGUUUCAAAGAUGACAUUUAUAACCAACUCUAGACUUAUUAAUUUAGUGUUUUCUUCAAUACAAUUCUAGUAUAUUUGUUUGCAUGGUUAAAUCACAUGUGAUGGUAAAUCAAAAGUAUACAUUAGUAUUGUUGAAUCAUGUGCAUAGUAAACAAGAAGUUUACUAGUCCAAAUAUGAUCAUUAGUUGGCAUGAUUAGUUAGACCAUCUUGACCAAUAAUGAUGCAACAAGAUAAGAAUUUACAUGAAUAUCUAUUAAAGAACCUGGAGAUUCUUCAUUUAUCAAGUGUUGCUUGUUCUAAUUUUUUUUAUUAAACCUCACUAGCAAAAGUUGAUAUUGAAUCUUUUACAUUUCUGAAAGAAAUAUGGGCUCAUUUAUCCAAGAAGUGAAUAUUUUGAUAUAAUUUUGGUAGAUGCAUUUGCAAGUUAAUUACAUGUGAGUUAUCACUCGCAACUUGUAGUUUAUGAUAUUACUUAUUUAAUGAUUUGUUUAUGAACAAAACUUUCAGAUUAUGCAAUUGGUACAAGUCUGGCUAAUGUUGGUGACUUUAUUACUCAUACUUUCAAUGACUAUUAUAUGCUAGAUUAUUAGUGCGAGUAACUUGCAAAAGCCUAUUGUUUAUACGAAUGAAAUAGUUUAGCAAAAUUAAUGAUUAAAUGCCUUAAGUUAAUAGCUAAACCAUUAUUGUUGAGAAUUUUUUUUGUAUAUAAGGAUAUGAUAUUUUAUAUCAAUCUACACUUGUACGCAUCAUGCCAAUACAUUUUGAUAAAUCCUUUUCAUUACAAUUGGCUUUUUAAUUUUCAAAUACAUCCCAUUUUAGAAUUUUUGAAUGUGUGAUAUAUGUUUAAGUUGCUCCACCACAAUGCACAAAAUGGAUAUUCAAAUAAUGUUUGGAAUAUAUACUAAUUAUGAAUCUCUUAUUAUUAUAUGUUUUGAUCGGAUUGGAGAUUCAAUUAUGAUAUGAUUUGAUGAUUAGGACUUUAAUUUAACAAGUUUUCCCAACAUCAGGGGGAAAAAUGGUAAUAGCUAGAUGAAAUGAUUAAAUAGAAUGAAUUAUCAUUAUCUAGAUCCUCGUAGAAAGUAAUUUGAAUUAGAAAUUCAAAAAGAUAAUUCACUUUAGUACAACUUAACUGCCAAAUGCACCUAUUAACUUGAUGAGAAUAACCAAGUGUUACAUACCAGCUAAUGUUUUGAUUUGAACUGAAGUUCCAGUAGGAAAAGUUACUAGACUAAUUAAAGGUAAUACAUGCCUGAGUCAUGGUUGUUUGAUAGAUGAUAAUUCUUGUAAAAGAAAAGAAUAAAUCUAAAUGAUCAUAUAGUGGAGGUAGGUGCUCUUGAAGAGGCCUAAGACAUAACUAAUUAUUAAAAAUCUCAAAGGGAUUCACGUACUUAAAAAUGAUAAAAAAUGAAAAUAAAGAGAUCUUGAUAAGUUAUGUCAAUACAAGAAAAUAUGGAACCAUGAAAUAGAAAUUUUUUUUACAACGAUUUUGCAUGCAAUAGUAUUAUUGAGAUAAAAAAAGAAAAUGAUAGUUUUGAAUAAAUUUGUCAAGAAAUAUAUAUAUGGAAUAGAUUGAUCAAAAUAGAAAGACGUAACUCAAGUACAAUUAAAUUUGUAAAGGUUUUGGACCCAUAGUCUAUAUAGCUAAAGGCAUAAAGCCAGUAAGGGUACAAAUGAAGUAGUUUUACAAAAACGAAAUAAGAAAUGUGAAGCUUUUCGCUAAGUCCUGGCAUUGAUUAUGAAAAGAUAUAAUCUUAUUUUGUGGUGGAUGCAAUAAUCUUUAAAUAUAUUAUUAAACUGGUAGUUCAUGAAAGAUUUAACAUGCGUCUAAUGUGUAACAACCCGAAAGUCAAUGGUGCUGAAAACUCUAAUUUUGGGACUCCAUUUUCGUAAACUAAAUAUUUACAAAGUUAUUUUAGAAGUGAAUUAAAUUUUGAAUAAGAAAUUUUACUAAAUUAGUGAAUAAUUUAAGUAUAAGGGCUAAAUUGUAAAAGUGGUUAAAUUUAAAAUUGCCAAAGAAGCAGUAAUUAAAAGUAAGGAACAAGGAUCAAGUUAGCAAUUAGACCAUGAUCAUUAAUAAGGGUUGUGGACAGUGGCAAGCUAUAUGAUUUAUGGAAGGGAUAAAAGGGUAAUUUAAUAAAUAAUGGUAAAAUGAAUUAAAUCUUAACAAAUAAACUUAGUGGAUCGAAAGUGUCACACUCGGUUUUCACUUAUGCCCCAAAAUUAAAGGAAAGUUAGGAGUUAUUUGAAUAGAAUGAUAAGAAGGCAAGAUUUACUGGAAAUUUUAGGAAUUUUGUGACUGAUUGGUAAAUAGUUAAGUUUCCAUUCUCGUUCAGUUAAAAGAGAAAUAGCUGGUCCCUUAGUGGGAGACACAAUAAUUAUUGGUGAGUGGUUAAUUGGGGCUUUGAUGACCAUGAGAAAAGGGUUAUAUAUAGGGGAGAAGCCUUACUCAAUAGAUGAAUUCUUCUCAAUUUUGAUUGUAUUUCCUUCUCAUUUGCAUCAUCUUCUUCGGUUGCUUCGAAGAAGGGAGAGUUAAGAAAAACGUUGUGUGGGGUGGUGAUCGUGAGGUCUAAGGUCAAGAAAAAUAAAAUCCAAUAAGUUGGUAAGCUCCUAAUUCCCUCUAUGUCCAUAAUUAGAGGAAAAAGAAGUAAUAAUCCCUAAAAAGCUCCUAUAUAGAAAUUUGAUUCAAGGUUUAAAGUUAGAAUUCUUUUGAUUUAACUGAUAUACGGUUGUCGUGCUUAGUGUCCAAGAUGAUGGAGGCUCUAGCAUUUGGAAAAGCUAAGCUGGCAAGGAUAAAAAAGUUUAGGUGGGUUUCUAUGCUCCAUCUUUGGGUGAUUGAUAACAUUGAACUGCUUGAAUGAUAUGUGUCUAUGUCUGUUCUGUGAUGUCUGAAUCCGUGGUUGCGUAUGAACAUGGUGAAUGAGUAUGUUGUGUAUGCAUAAUGAUGCGUAAGAGUGAGUAUCCUUGCAAGUAUGUAUAUUGUAUGUUAAUUAGUUGUGAGUUGAUAUAUUAAUGGACGACAUACUGUAUGCUAUAGAAAUAAAUACAAUUAAUUACGUGAAAUGCAUAUAUGUUAUAUAAUACAGAGUAAUGAGGGAGAUGCCUUGACGGGGUAGAUGAAGAUAGGAAAAGUUGGCGUAAUAGAGAAACGAACGAAUAGUUAGGGGACCUGAGGGAGUUGGGCGGCAUCGUGGAAUGGUUAUCUACUUGGUCGCCAGAGCGACACCGUGAUGACGAUCUAUCAACUCUAUGGAGCAACACCGUGAUAGUGGUUAUCGAUUGGUCCUUCGAGGUGACACCUCAAAAAAGGUUUACUAAUUCUUCGGAGUCAUAGGUGCAUGGCACCAUAAUGUGUAAGACCAUAGUUGGGCUAUGGUAACAUAUAAAGUCUACUAAGACAGUAAACAUGGGACCAUAGUGUGUAAGAUCAUAGUUGGGCUAUGGCAACAUAUGAAGUCCACCAGGAUAGUAAACAUGAGAUCAUAAUGUGUAAGACCAUAGCAGGGCUAUGGCCACAUAUGAAGUUCGUAAGUACAAAGAACUAGGAAGCCCACCAGGGCAUAAAAUGGGGUAGUCAUCGUAUAACUUUAGUGGCAAGUAGUAAGACUGAAUGAUCAUAGCGUGACUGAGAAGACUAGCAAAUGGGAUAACAAGAGGAUCCACCAAAAUUCGAAGGUAGGUAGAAGUGUCUGAGAAUGCGGGUAAGCUUGUUGAUAAGGGGAUCUGCCAAAUUAUGACGGUAAGAGGAAUUGGUGGAAGCAGUUUUAACGUGGCUGAUGUUAUGAAAAUGAUAUAUUCUUCGAGGUAUCUAAGUAUUCUCCAC
RNAcentral lists this long non-coding RNA (31314 nucleotides) under Gossypium raimondii (Peruvian cotton). RNAcentral describes it as "long non-coding RNA (GRAI_LNC006257)". Lineage: Eukaryota; Viridiplantae; Streptophyta; Magnoliopsida; Malvales; Malvaceae. The record is from RNAcentral.